UACGGGGGGGGCAAGCGUUGUUCGGAAUUACUGGGCGUAAAGGGCGCGUAGGCGGGUGGACAAGUCGCUCGUGAAAGCCCACGGCUCAACCGUGGAAUUGCGGGAGAUACUGUCUGUCUUGAGGCCGGGAGAGGAGGGUGGAAUUCCCAGUGUAGCGGUGAAAUGCGUAGAUAUUGGGAGGAACACCGGUGGCAAAGGCGGCUCUCUGGGCCGGUACUGACGCUGAGGCGCGAAAGCUAGGGGAGCAAACGGG
Molecule: ribosomal RNA, 253 nt
Filed under: uncultured bacterium
Lineage: Bacteria
Description: partial 16S ribosomal RNA
Rfam family: Bacterial small subunit ribosomal RNA
Source: RNAcentral